Molecule: transfer RNA, 60 nt
Filed under: Otolemur garnettii (small-eared galago)
Lineage: Eukaryota; Metazoa; Chordata; Mammalia; Primates; Galagidae
Rfam family: tRNA
About the family: Transfer RNA (tRNA) molecules are approximately 80 nucleotides in length. Their secondary structure includes four short double-helical elements and three loops (D, anti-codon, and T loops).
Source: Rfam by way of RNAcentral
GUGGCCCAGUGGGUAGGGCGCUGGCCCCAGAUGCCAAGGGUGGUAGGUUCGAACCCUGCC